GACGAACGCUGGCGGCGUGCUUAACACAUGCAAGUCGAACGAAGUGGAGAACGGGUGAGUAACGCGUAGUAAACCUGCCCUUUAGAGGGGGACAACAGUUGGAAACGACUUCUAAUACCGAAUACUGCAGGAGGGGGUUGCGUCGAAUUAGAUCGUUGGAGAGGUAACGGCCGACCAAGGCGAUGAUGAGUAGCCGUGCUGAGAGAAUGACCGGCCACAUGGGGACUGAGACACGGCCCAAACUCCUACGGGAGGCAGCAGUAGGGAAUAUUCGACAAUGGACGAAAGCCUGAUCGAGCAAGGCCGCGUGAGUGAAGAAGGUCUUCGGAUUGUAAAGCACUUUAGUUGGUGAGCGGUACCCAAACAGAAAGCACCGGCUAACUACGUGCCAGCAGCCGCGGUAAUAC
Molecule: ribosomal RNA, 407 nt
Filed under: uncultured bacterium
Lineage: Bacteria
Description: partial 16S ribosomal RNA
Rfam family: Bacterial small subunit ribosomal RNA
Source: RNAcentral